This 254-nucleotide ribosomal RNA is filed under the name uncultured bacterium. RNAcentral's name for it is "partial 16S ribosomal RNA". It matches the Rfam family "Bacterial small subunit ribosomal RNA", at positions 524 to 776 of the family's 1533-position model. The record is from RNAcentral.
UACGUAGGGGGCAAGCGUUGUCCGGAUUUAUUGGGCGUAAAGAGCUCGUAGGCGGUUUGGUAAGUCGGGUGUGAAAUCUCCAGGCUCAACCUGGAGGGGUCAUUCGAUACUGCCAUGACUAGAGGUCGGUAGGGGUGUGUGGAAUUCCUGGUGGAGCGGUGAAAUGCGCAGAUAUCAGGAGGAACACCCGUAGCGAAGGCGGCACACUGGGCCGAUACUGACGCUGAGGAGCGAAAGCGUGGGGAGCGAACAGG